RNAcentral lists this ribosomal RNA (159 nucleotides) under Gynura sp. Y3304. RNAcentral describes it as "5.8S ribosomal RNA". It matches the Rfam family "5.8S ribosomal RNA". From Rfam's summary of the family: 5.8S ribosomal RNA (5.8S rRNA) is a component of the large subunit of the eukaryotic ribosome. It is transcribed by RNA polymerase I as part of the 45S precursor that also contains 18S and 28S rRNA. Functionally, it is thought that 5.8S rRNA may be involved in ribosome translocation. Lineage: Eukaryota; Viridiplantae; Streptophyta; Magnoliopsida; Asterales; Asteraceae. The record is from RNAcentral.
GACUCUCGACAACGGAUAUCUCGGCUCACGCAUCGAUGAAGAACGUAGCAAAAUGCGAUACUUGGUGUGAAUUGCAGAAUCCCGUGAACCAUCGAGUUUUUGAACGCAAGUUGCGCCCGAAGCCUUUUGGUCGAGGGCACGUCUGCCUGGGCGUCACAC